UGGUGGUUGGUUGGUUGUAGAACUGUGUUGAAAGGAUUUGUCCCUAGGUAUGCUUACUAUCUGAUAUAACAAGGAAUCCUCUGCAUGAGUACAUGUUAUCUGUCUUGGUUUUCAUCUAUGGAUUUAAGAUGGGACCCCUGCACCCUCAUGUACCGUGGACAGUUUUGAAACAUCUCUAUGAACUUGUGUGCAGUUUUUACCUGCUCCAGAUGCCAAAGCAUUUUCUGUGUUCCAGGAAGAUGGCUCAGUGGAUAAAGGAGGCUGUCUCCAGACCUGAGAACCUGAGAAUCUGAGAACCUGAGUACCUGAGAACCUGAGUUCCUGAGAACCUGAGUAACUCUAAAAUUCACACAGUAGGAAAAAAACUGAUGGCUGAAAGUUAUCCUCUGAUCCCCAUACACAUGGCAUGGCACACAUAUGUAAAUGUAUGUUCCCUUACAUGCAUACACAUACAAAUAUAUGUAGCUAAGAAAAAACAGAAACCCUCAAGUGUGUAAUGCAGUCUACCCCAUUGUCUCUUUCUAUAUGGCCUGUCAGCUAAAAAGACUGAUUAAAUUCCAUUUGUAAAUGAUUAAACAUAACUGAAUGUCGUAUUCAUUUGCCAGGGCUGCUGUGGUAUGUGCCACUGAUAUAGAUAGAUAGAUAGAUAGA
Molecule: long non-coding RNA, 651 nt
Organism: Mus musculus (house mouse)
Lineage: Eukaryota; Metazoa; Chordata; Mammalia; Rodentia; Muridae
Product: predicted gene, 38768
Exons: 4
Source: RefSeq, a predicted model, not a curated record